AAGUCGUAACAAGGUUUCCGUAGGUGAACCUGCGGAAGGAUCAUUAACACGUAUCCACGUAAACACUAAGAGAACCUAUUUCACCAGCUCCCUGUGCGAAGAAUGAAUGGCAAUCCAGUAGAGAUAAUAUAGGGAUGCUCUGCGUCUUCUCUACCCGAUCACUUAUCCAAGGCUGAAAGGCUGCGGAUAGACAUUGGAUCUUUUGUGCAGGCUAAUCUCAUCGACGCUUCUUCUAUAUGAUCUGCCGAUGGGAACCAUAUUUCACCUAUUUCACCCCCUUUUUGCUAGUUGACUUUUAUAUGUGUAUCAGUACUUCGGUACCGUUCACACGUUUAUUAAUUGAACGUUAAAAAUACAACUCUUAGCAAUGGAUAUCUUGGUUCUC
Molecule: unclassified non-coding RNA, 385 nt
Filed under: fungal sp.
Lineage: Eukaryota; Fungi
Description: partial internal transcribed spacer region
Rfam family: Eukaryotic small subunit ribosomal RNA (bases 1-46)
Source: RNAcentral